GAUGAACGCUGGCGGCGUGCCUAAUACAUGCAAGUCGAGCGAACGGACGAGAAGCUUGCUUCUCUGAUGUUAGCGGCGGACGGGUGAGUAACACGUGGAUAACCUACCUAUAAGACUGGGAUAACUUCGGGAAACCGGAGCUAAUACCGGAUAAUAUUUUGAACCGCAUGGUUCAAAAGUGAAAGACGGUCUUGCUGUCACUUAUAGAUGGAUCCGCGCUGCAUUAGCUAGUUGGUAAGGUAACGGCUUACCAAGGCAACGAUGCAUAGCCGACCUGAGAGGGUGAUCGGCCACACUGGAACUGAGACACGGUCCAGACUCCUACGGGAGGCAGCAGUAGGGAAUCUUCCGCAAUGGGCGAAAGCCUGACGGAGCAACGCCGCGUGAGUGAUGAAGGUCUUCGGAUCGUAAAACUCUGUUAUUAGGGAAGAACAUAUGUGUAAGUAACUGUGCACAUCUUGACGGUACCUAAUCAGAAAGCCACGGCUAACUACGUGCCAGCAGCCGCGGUAAUACGUAGGUGGCAAGCGUUAUCCGGAAUUAUUGGGCGUAAAGCGCGCGUAGGCGGUUUUUUAAGUCUGAUGUGAAAGCCCACGGCUCAACCGUGGAGGGUCAUUGGAAACUGGAAAACUUGAGUGCAGAAGAGGAAAGUGGAAUUCCAUGUGUAGCGGUGAAAUGCGCAGAGAUAUGGAGGAACACCAGUGGCGAAGGCGACUUUCUGGUCUGUAACUGACGCUGAUGUGCGAAAGCGUGGGGAUCAAACAGGAUUAGAUACCCUGGUAGUCCACGCCGUAAACGAUGAGUGCUAAGUGUUAGGGGGUUUCCGCCCCUUAGUGCUGCAGCUAACGCAUUAAGCACUCCGCCUGGGGAGUACGACCGCAAGGUUGAAACUCAAAGGAAUUGACGGGGACCCGCACAAGCGGUGGAGCAUGUGGUUUAAUUCGAAGCAACGCGAAGAACCUUACCAAAUCUUGACAUCCUUUGACAACUCUAGAGAUAGAGCCUUCCCCUUCGGGGGACAAAGUGACAGGUGGUGCAUGGUUGUCGUCAGCUCGUGUCGUGAGAUGUUGGGUUAAGUCCCGCAACGAGCGCAACCCUUAAGCUUAGUUGCCAUCAUUAGGUUGGGCACUCUAAGUUGACUGCCGGUGACAAACCGGAGGAAGGUGGGGAUGACGUCAAAUCAUCAUGCCCCUUAUGAUUUGGGCUACACACGUGCUACAAUGGACAAUACAAAGGGCAGCGAAACCGCGAGGUCAAGCAAAUCCCAUAAAGUUGUUCUCAGUUCGGAUUGUAGUCUGCAACUCGACUACAUGAAGCUGGAAUCGCUAGUAAUCGUAGAUCAGCAUGCUACGGUGAAUACGUUCCCGGGUCU
RNAcentral lists this ribosomal RNA (1372 nucleotides) under uncultured bacterium. RNAcentral describes it as "bacterial SSU rRNA". It matches the Rfam family "Bacterial small subunit ribosomal RNA", at positions 28 to 1381 of the family's 1533-position model. The record is from RNAcentral.